Long non-coding RNA from Micropterus salmoides (largemouth bass), 1207 nucleotides. RefSeq lists it as uncharacterized. The transcript has 2 exons. The record is from RefSeq and is a predicted model, not a curated record. Lineage: Eukaryota; Metazoa; Chordata; Actinopteri; Centrarchiformes; Centrarchidae.
UGAUCUGAGCGGUCCAGUAAAUCAUAUUGAAAUUUGGACUCCAAAUAAUCAAAUCGAUUUUUGUAGAGAGUUUUAUAACAAAUGAACCACAGUGAGUCUGGAACUGUGGAGACAAAUUAAUCAUUAUCACAGGCCUUUCCCAAACAAAAAAACUAAUGUUGACUUAAUACAAUAAAUUCCAUAUUUCUCCCAAGUGGGAUUCAUAAAGUAAUUAUUCUAUAAAAACAAAAUAUAUUGACAAAAGUGGCCCUCCGAUGGAUUGGCAACCUGGACGGGUGUACCCCGCCUUUUGCCUGAUGUCAGCUGGGAUUGGCUCCAGCCCCCCGCGACCCUGUACGCAGGAUAAGCGGUUGAUGAUUGAUGGAUGGAUAUUGACAAAAGUGAUCUGAAUCUGGAAUCUUCCACAAACAAAUUCUCAUAGCAAUAAUUUCCAUUCCUAAAGUAAUUCUAAAGAUAAUGUAAUUAUGUCUAUUGUUAGUCACCUGUUCACCAAGGCAAAUUCCUUGUAUGUGUAAAAACUAAAUGGCAACAAAGCAGUUACUGAUUCUGAAGCCUGGGUCUUUCCGUAUGCUGAAGAAGAGGAAAAAGAUUAUAUGAGAGUGUUUUUCUCCUUUUCUGUAGGUGUGUGUUUGUGCAGCCUAUUUGCCCAGCUGUCUUUUGGCUCCAGAACAACAAACUUUCUGGGAGACGACCCCCAACAAUUAUUAACUGGUUCCGAGAUUUAGUUUGUACAAAUCAGUGCUUCUUCCAACUUUGUGUGUUCAUGUGCUCUUAAGUUGGAAUGUGGAAUCAACAUGGAUUCCCGUGGUGUAUGUAGAUAGAAAUGGCUCAUUGUAAGACGAAGCAGCAUGCCUUCCACCGGAGAUGCCAAAUGCAAAAUACACAGAAAACCAAAAUGUUUGGUAUGAGGAUGGACAUAUGAUUAGGAUAACAUGUGACAAAGGAUAUGAACCCAAAGGCCAGGAUGUCACAGGGCCAGAAAAUGGCCGACAUUUUUUGUGCAUCUGGUGUUUUAUUUUGGAAUGUUUUUUACUUGUGUGCUGUGAUUGUUAUUGCAUGACAGUGGUGUUUUAGCAUGUUGUGGUGCAGUACUAUUAAUUCCCCUUUUAUAUAGCUCCCUUUUUAACUUGUGUCAUCACAUUGAUUUUAGUUAGGCCUUUUUAAAUCAAGUCUUAUUUUUAAUUGCAUUAAUAAAUUGUUAAAUGUA